UACGUAGGGACCAAGCGUUGUUCGGAUUUACUGGGCGUAAAGGGCGCGUAGGCGGCGUGGUAAGUCACUUGUGAAAUCUCUGAGCUUAACUCAGAACGGCCAAGUGAUACUGCUGUGCUAGAGUGCAGAAGGGGCAAUCGGAAUUCUUGGUGUAGCGGUGAAAUGCGUAGAUAUCAAGAGGAACACCUGAGGUGAAGACGGGUUGCUGGGCUGACACGUGACGCUGAUGCGCGAAAGCCAGGGGAGCAAACGGG
This 254-nucleotide ribosomal RNA is filed under the name uncultured bacterium. Its description in RNAcentral is "partial 16S ribosomal RNA". It matches the Rfam family "Bacterial small subunit ribosomal RNA", at positions 524 to 776 of the family's 1533-position model. The record is from RNAcentral.